GGGAAACUGCCUGAUGGAGGGGGAUAACCACUGGAAACGGUGGCUAAUACCGCAUAACGUCGCAAGACCAAAGAGGGGGACCUUCGGGCCUCUCACUAUCGGAUGAACCCAGAUGGGAUUAGCUAGUAGGCGGGGUAAUGGCCCACCUAGGCGACGAUCCCUAGCUGGUCUGAGAGGAUGACCAGCCACACUGGAACUGAGACACGGUCCAGACUCCUACGGGAGGCAGCAGUGGGGAAUAUUGCACAAUGGGCGCAAGCCUGAUGCAGCCAUGCCGCGUGUAUGAAGAAGGCCUUAGGGUUGUAAAGUACUUUUGUUAGGGAAGAAAAGGCAUUUGCUAAUACCAGAUGCUGUUGACGGUACCUAAAGAAUAAGCACCGGCUAACUACGUGCCAGCAGCCGCGGUAAUACGUAGGGCGCGAGCGUUGUCCGGAAUUAUUGGGCGUAAAGCGCGCGCAGGCGGCUUUUUAAGUCCGGUGUCACAGCCCAAGGCUCAACCUUGGGUCGCACUGGAAACUGGAGAGCUUGAGUACAGAAGAGGAAAGUGGAAUUCCAGGUGUAGCGGUGAAAUGCGUAGAGAUGUGGAGGAAUACCGAAGGCGAAGGCA
Molecule: ribosomal RNA, 607 nt
Filed under: Prorocentrum minimum
Lineage: Eukaryota; Dinophyceae; Prorocentrales; Prorocentraceae
Description: partial Bacterial small subunit ribosomal RNA
Rfam family: Bacterial small subunit ribosomal RNA
Source: RNAcentral